Long non-coding RNA from Pundamilia nyererei, 585 nucleotides. RefSeq lists it as uncharacterized. Lineage: Eukaryota; Metazoa; Chordata; Actinopteri; Cichliformes; Cichlidae. The transcript has 4 exons. The record is from RefSeq and is a predicted model, not a curated record.
AGUGUUGAUCUGGAUCUUUCAUCAGUCACACCUGAAGACUGGCACAGCUACAGAUGUAUGUUUCAGCUCUCUGGUGUGAACGAGGACAUCGUCACCAAACUGGACAAAGCAGCGAUCAGGACCAAUGAGGGUUCUUCAGUCUUCCCUGCUGGUGUUGUUGUCCGGUUUAUGGGCAUCCUGCUCCUCCUGACUGUCUGCUUCUCUGCAGUCUUUAUCUGGAGGAGAAAAUAUAAAGAGCUGUACUGACAUGCAGCUUUAGAAAGAAUUGCUCAUCUCAGCUUUGCAUGAAGACAGCCUCUCCCAGAAUUCACCUGCUUUCUGCAUACAUGCUACUACUGCACAUUCACCUAAUGUAUAUAUUAUAUAUAAUGUUCUUCCUCUACCUUUCUGCUGCAACAAGAUGGAGAAACUGCAAAUAAUACAAAAAGUUAUUUGGCUUUAAUUUGAAAGUCAAAUUCAGUUUACAUAAAGUGUUUGCACUGUGAACCUUUAGUUUUACUGUAGUAGCUCUCAGACAAAGACUCUGAAAGAACAUUACAUUUCAAUUUUUCACUAUUUCAAUUUUCAGCUUUUUCCUUUUAAACA